RNAcentral lists this long non-coding RNA (3008 nucleotides) under Canis lupus familiaris (dog). RNAcentral describes it as "lncRNA (ENSCAFG00030010902.1)". The record is from RNAcentral. Lineage: Eukaryota; Metazoa; Chordata; Mammalia; Carnivora; Canidae.
GGUAAGAGGGCUUAAUUCCAUCGAACUUUGAGGAGGAGAGUUAGGUGCCUAAUGAGAGAAAAUUAAAAAAAUAAAAACUUGUUUUUUUUUCCCUUUAUACUACUGCUGUAUGAUUCAAGUAAUACGAUAAUGAUAGUCUUUAUCUAUUAAGCCAGUAAUCUGUGCCUGGUAGAGUAUUCAGCAAUUUAUCUUGAAUCCUUAGAGCCUGGGGGAGUUGUUGCUACCAUCAUUUUACCUUUGAACAAAAUGAGGUCAGGAAGAUUCAAUGGCUUUUUCUGGUUUCCCUGGUGGGAUUCAAAUCCAGGGUCACUUGGGUGAUUCAGAAGUUGACGUUCUUUUCACAGAUUUGCAGCUUGUUUUGAGGAAGAAAGAGAGAGAAAUAGAAAACUCUGCAGUGUGUGUUGCUUUCCAAUUUGAGGUAGCACAGUUAGGUCGGGUAUGAGGUAUAGAGAUUAAAGACCAUGCUGGAAGAAUAGGUCCAGAUGUCCUAAGAAAACGAGUGCAACUGACAUUUUGAUGAAAAUGAGAUGAUUUUGGAAACCUACAUCUCUAUCCAGUAAGGAUGGCCAGAAGAGAAUAAAACAUUAACCUCUUAACUGUAGUCUGGGACACACUUACUUGAUCAUUCUUAAUCUAGAUGAGCAGAUCAGAGUUGGUGUGUGAUCAUUCAAAACUAGAACCUGGAAAGAAACAGAGAGUACAUUGUGCUAAAGUGGAGAUUAGUAGAAAAAUCCAAGAUUGAUCAAACUCAGUCUUUCCACAUGCCUGGUUAUCUUAUUAAAUUGUCAGUUUCAUUUGGAUAAAAGAUCUAAACUUUCCAAACAGAGAGCUGCAAAGAGGAGAGAGACCCUCUCUUCUGCUUACUUGGUGGGCAUAUAUUUAGAGACAUUUCCUAGGUAUGGAAUAUUUCAGUUAUCAGCACAGAAUUUAGGGAAAGGUUGGGACUGAAAGACAACAUUUGACAGCUAUGAAUCACAAAAGUUACAAGGAUCUCAGAUUUGUUUUAACAGCAUACAAAUUCAUUUUUACUGCAGAUAAGAUUAUCUUACUUCAUUAGAAGUUGGUAUUAGCUUCAAGUAUGUAUAAAUUUUGUUGUUUUUCUUGACUGCAAAAGCUCUGCACCUGUGCUUUCUUAAAGCACAUUGAAAAAAUAAAAACUCCUAAGAGAAUUAUUUUCUCUUUUGCCAAUACUAGUCAAUCUCGCUUUACUAACCAGGGAAACUACAAAUUACUAUGGUUCUGAGGUUGGCAGACUGAUACAAUUAGUUCCCCUACAUGCUUGACAUUCCACGUUAGUAAGUAGAAAGAACGACAAAAAAAGUCUUUCCUGCUGGGAACAUGGUAGAAAUGUUAGGAUUCUUUCCAGAAGAAGAAGGAAUCCAAAUCCACAACAGCACAUUGUUUGCAUGUUUUUCUAGGCUUUAUUUUCAGCCUUGAAAAUUUUCACGCAGCGCCUCCUGCCAGAAUAUGACACACACCACUGGGCCUGAAACUAGCACCUGUGAGAAGCAAAUCCAUGACCAUGAAAAUCUUCAGUUCCUGAGUGGGACAGAAUAAACCCUGUUUCAUGGAGUUUGUGCCAGGGAAGGGCCACAGUUUAGCUGGCACUGUAGCCAUGACCAAGAAACAGUUUACCAGGACUUUACAAUUCACAGCAUUGUUUGAACUCUGCACUGUAGCUACACUAACUAGAUUAUAAGAUGUGGUUGCUUUUGUUUGGUGCCUAUCAUAUAUAUGGUGUGAUGCUUACUUUGAUUACUGCACAUAUUGUCCUAAUACUGUAAUCUCCUUUUGGUUUGUCUGUUUACCCUCUAGACUAAUAAUAUAAGUGAGUGAAGUGAGGCCACUUCACUUUAACAACAGUCAGUAUUUUUUUCCCCAACUUCUGUUAAAGACAUGGGUGCACUGCAUGAGUGAUGCAACAAGCACUUAACCUCAUUGUACAGUUAACCAUCAGGAAUGGCAGGGACUGGAACAAAAUGAAGAAAGUUUGCCCCAUCUGAGGGUGUGGCAGUCACUUAGCUCUACUUAAUUGUUGUUGACUGAGUCCUAGGUGAUAAUAGAUCUUCCACAUUCUAAAAAGGAGCUGUAUAAUGUGAAAUUACUUAAAUUUUAAGUGUUUUUAUGGGCACAAUCUGUAAGACAUUCAGGGGCAAAAGCCGAAUGCUUUAUUUUUCAAUUUCAAGUAGUGCUCUUAUAUAGUAGAUCAAUAUGUUCUUCCUCUCUUGUAUAUUAUUUUACUGAAUUAAAGGCCUGUAUACUUUAUAGACAUGCAGGUGAUAUAUAAGAGAGGUGUCCACUUGGUAGUAUUUUGCCUACACUUUCUCAAUCAAUUAAAAAACUUUUGCAUUAAAUAGGAUACAAUAGAUAUUAGAAAGAGAAAAUUGAAGUGCAAUAUAGAUGAAAACUAUACAGAAAUAUUGGCCCUACAAAAUUUCCAGUUCUCCUACUUGUCCAUAUCACAUCCCAGAAUAUGGAGAAAACAUUAAAAACCUAUCACAUUACUUAAUAAAUAUUUGAAUAGGUGAAUGAAUGAAAUAAGUAUGUUUGGAAUCCUAGAUAUAAUUAGACAAAUUAGAGAGUGAUUACUAGGUAGUUCCAAGGACAUGUGCCAGCCUUGAAGACCACUGAUCUAUGGGUAAAUGAAAUACAAUUAUAGUGUAAGGAGUAUAUAUAUUUAUUUGUGUAUGUGUGUGUGUGUGCACAUAGAUGUCUUUUGUCCUUUUUAAUUUUUUCUCUUUUGUCCUUUUUUAAAAAAAAGAUACUAAUUUUCAUUUUGAGAUUUCUGUUUUUCUACUUUUUGAAUAUUAAAAUUAUGAUAUAGUAAUAGCAUAUGUUAAUGUUUUUCUAUUUUCUUGAAGAUCUCUUUUGUUAAGAUAAAAGACCAUUACUUCUAGUCAGUCCCCCAAAUUUUAUUUUAAAUUUUGCUUGAUCCAAGAAAUAUAAAAUUCUGGGAGCCACUGAUUUGGGGCUCUUUAAAAUUCCUAAUGCUCAUUUUUCUCUCAUUU